Long non-coding RNA from Neodiprion fabricii, 120 nucleotides. RefSeq lists it as uncharacterized. The record is from RefSeq and is a predicted model, not a curated record. Lineage: Eukaryota; Metazoa; Arthropoda; Insecta; Hymenoptera; Diprionidae. The transcript is spliced from 3 exons.
AAAAAAUUCAGAAUUUUUAUAAGGGUGGCCACUCAAUUCCGCUCACGGAAUUCCCUGACAUUUCCCGGUUUUCCUUGACUAAAAUCAUUAUUUUUCCCUAACAUUUUGAUGCACAAUUUG